Long non-coding RNA from Salvia miltiorrhiza (redroot sage), 675 nucleotides. RefSeq lists it as uncharacterized. The transcript is spliced from 2 exons. NCBI's taxonomy places the organism in Eukaryota, Viridiplantae, Streptophyta, Magnoliopsida, Lamiales, Lamiaceae. The record is from RefSeq and is a predicted model, not a curated record.
CAGGGACCAGCAAAAGCACGCGUUUCACCCAAACCAAUCACAACUCGCCGCGUGGAUCAUGUGUUGGAUCGUGGUCCGUCUCCGGCGGCUCCAAUGGAUUACAUAUGUUCAUGUGUGGUCCGCCUACUCUAUAGGUGGAUAUCCUCGGAAAUUCCGAAUGCGGUCAUUAUCAAAGGUAAAAAAAAUACUAGUAAUGUAUGAUAGCGCAACCGUAGAUCUACCAUGGAAAGAUGAAAGAGGGGGACCACCGACCACUUCAACUAAGAGGUAGGGGCGACUGAGCUUGGUUGAAAGUUGAGAGAGAGAGGGAGAAGACGACGACGUAGAUCGAUCGACAUAGAAGAAGUGGUCCCUUCACAAAAGCAAAGCUAUAUUGAACAAAUACAAGCUUCCGUGGUCGUAAUGCGUUGAGAAUGGUCCCCCCCUAUGAUUUUGGAACUUAAAUGCCAAUUUGGAAAACAAAACGAAAAAGAGCCUAAACAACCACAAGAGGUGGGCGCCCACCAACAAUCCACUACCACCGUUUCCAUCUAACUCACAAACACAAUUCGUGAUUUUUACCUCAGUAUACAAACGGGACAGUAGUGAGUAGUGGCUCCUCCUAGAGAUAAGGUUACUUCCUUAUUUUAUCAACCAUAUAUUUCAAUUACACAUAUACCAACAGUUGCAACUUUG